GAUGAAUGCUGGCGGCGUGCCUAACACAUGCAAGUCGAGCGGCAGCGCGAGGAGUUUACUCCUUGGCGGCGAGCGGCGGACGGCUGAGUAACGCGUGGGAACGUGCCCCAAAGUGAGGAAUAACUGCCCGAAAGGGUGGCUAAUACCGCAUAUGAUCUUCGGAUUAAAGUCUUCGGACGCUUUGGGAGCGGCCCGCGUCGGAUUAGGUUGUUGGUGAGGUAAUGGCUCACCAAGCCGACGAUCCGUAGCUGGUCUGAGAGGAUGAUCAGCCAGACUGGGACUGAGACACGGCCCAGACUCCUACGGGAGGCAGCAGUGAGGAAUCUUCCACAAUGGGCGAAAGCCUGAUGGAGCAACGCCGCGUGAAGGAUGAAGGCCCUCGGGUUGUAAACUUCUUUUAUAAGUGAAGAAUAUGACGGUAACUUAUGAAUAAGCACCGGCUAACUACGUGCCAGCCGCCGCGGUAA
RNAcentral lists this ribosomal RNA (467 nucleotides) under uncultured bacterium. Its description in RNAcentral is "partial 16S ribosomal RNA". It matches the Rfam family "Bacterial small subunit ribosomal RNA", at positions 28 to 523 of the family's 1533-position model. The record is from RNAcentral.